CCAGACAUAUGGAGGAUUGACAGACAGUUAACCAAAACGCAGCAGCUAGUUUAACAAAACUAACAGCUCUUUCAAGAUUAUGUGGUAGGUGGUGCAUGGCCGUUCUUAGUUCGUGAAGUGAUUCGUUCGCCCAAUCGCAUUUCCAAACAACUAACAACUCAGAAUGCUGGGCAAUAGGACGUUUAAAGUGGCUCCUUACACCUUACAAAGGAAUGGCUGAUGAGAAACAACUCGAUCCGCUCAGCGUUCUAUUGGAAUGCAACGGACGUGAUUGCAAGCUUUUGUUUUGAGUUGCGGUUUUACUGAAAGACUCUACAAUCCGCAAACUUCAAUGAUCUGAAGUAGAAAACCUACAUGCUACAGUGAGAUAUUGUGGAUAAACUUAAGCGACCGCUCCAACAUUGUGUUUUUUUAAAACUGAUGAAGGUUGCGGCAAUAACAG
RNAcentral lists this ribosomal RNA (442 nucleotides) under Globigerinoides sacculifer. RNAcentral's name for it is "partial 18S ribosomal RNA". It matches the Rfam family "Eukaryotic small subunit ribosomal RNA", at positions 1224 to 1459 of the family's 1831-position model. Lineage: Eukaryota; Foraminifera; Rotaliida; Globigerinidae. The record is from RNAcentral.